GGGAGGCGGCGUGCUAAUACAUGCAAGUCGAGCGAAUGGAUUAAGAGCUUGCUCUUAUGAAGUUAGCGGCGGACGGGUGAGUAACACGUGGGUAACCUGCCCAUAAGACUGGGAUAACUCCGGGAAACCGGGGCUAAUACCGGAUAACAUUUUGAACCGCAUGGUUCGAAAUUGAAAGGCGGCUUCGGCUGUCACUUAUGGAUGGACCCGCGUCGCAUUAGCUAGUUGGUGAGGUAACGGCUCACCAAGGCAACGAUGCGUAGCCGACCUGAGAGGGUGAUCGGCCACACUGGGACUGAGACACGGCCCAGACUCCUACGGGAGGCAGCAGUAGGGAAUCUUCCGCAAUGGACGAAAGUCUGACGGAGCAACGCCGCGUGAGUGAUGAAGGCUUUCGGGUCGUAAAACUCUGUUGUUAGGGAAGAACAAGUGCUAGUUGAAUAAGCUGGCACCUUGACGGUACCUAACCAGAAAGCCACGGCUAACUACGUGCCAGCAGCCGCGGUAAUACGUAGGUGGCAAGCGUUAUCCGGAAUUAUUGGGCGUAAAGCGCGCGCAGGUGGUUUCUUAAGUCUGAUGUGAAAGCCCACGGCUCAACCGUGGAGGGUCAUUGGAAACUGGGAGACUUGAGUGCAGAAGAGGAAAGUGGAAUUCCAUGUGUAGCGGUGAAAUGCGUAGAGAUAUGGAGGAACACCAGUGGCGAAGGCGACUUUCUGGUCUGUAACUGACACUGAGGCGCGAAAGCGUGGCACGC
Molecule: ribosomal RNA, 754 nt
Filed under: Bacillus cereus
Lineage: Bacteria; Bacillati; Bacillota; Bacilli; Caryophanales; Bacillaceae
Description: bacterial SSU rRNA
Rfam family: Bacterial small subunit ribosomal RNA
Source: RNAcentral